UUGCUCUCUCUCUUUCUCAAAAUAAGCAAAUAAACUUAACAUAAAUAAAUAAAUAAAUAAAUAAAUAAAUAAAUAAAUAAGAAAAACUUCCGUUCUCAAUCUCUUGCCAAGUUUCACAAGAACAGUGAGAGACUUAUUUCUAACAAUGUUGUAGACAAGUAGAGGUUUGAGAAAUGAAAUACUAAGCCUUGUAUAAUGAUACAUAUUUCAGGAAGAAAAAUGGGAUAUUCUGAAACAAAAUAUCCAUGUGAAUGACUUUCCAAGGUCAAAAAUAUAAAGAACCUCUUCACCAGCAUCAGAAUAUUUAUUGGGCAGGAGUCGACAAUGUUAUAAGCAUCUUGGGAGCUUAAAACCGAAAACAUCAUUAACAAGCUUGACCAACAUAAAUAAGCAUGUGUCUCCAAACAAACAAAAAUACGUAACAGUGAAAUUCUGAAAUCCACAUUGAAGCAAGAGGAAAAACCCAUUCACGUUUCUAUAAAAAAUGGUAACAUUUUCUGUAACAUCUCCUGGAAAGCGCAAGCCCCAAACUGGGACUUGGGUCUCCCAGCAAAGCGCAAGGGCAACGCAGAGGCUGCAGGGAGGCGCCCCAGCAAGCACCCUGGCAGUCGCUGUCCUGGCGGGAAGCGCCGUGGAGGCCUCCGCAGCAAGAGCAGAUACACACUUGGAAGAAAGCAAAACCCAACACAGAUGGUCUUGGGCCAUACGAGCAGUGGUACCAGAGCCCCGAUAGCGGCGGUGCAGCCUCGGCGACAUUAUGCACGGAGCCAAAGGAGCAAAAACCCUAAGGGACAGAGAGAGAGGAGGAAGAGGAAAUUCCCUGGCAUCUUCACAAAGGCAAGGGUCUAACGUUGGUAGUAAUCAUGCCACCAAAUUCAAGGACUGAACUUCAGAUAUCUAUUUGGAAUAUGCUAAAGAGACACAAUGAUCUGAAUCUGUGACUGAUCAUCCGCUGGAUGUGUUUUAAUAGGAUCAUACAUACUAAAGUGCAUUGUACACAGCAACAUGGCAACUGAAAAUAAUUACUUAUACUAUUGCUAUUGAUGAUAUAAUAAUGAUCACAAAUAUUAUUAGUAAAUAAAUGGGUGAUUUUAAAAAUUC
Long non-coding RNA from Leopardus geoffroyi (Geoffroy's cat), 1101 nucleotides. RefSeq lists it as uncharacterized. The record is from RefSeq and is a predicted model, not a curated record. The transcript is spliced from 2 exons. Lineage: Eukaryota; Metazoa; Chordata; Mammalia; Carnivora; Felidae.